GUGGACAUCAACCGGGAAGAGCUGAAAGAUGGCGUUACCAGAUAAGGAAACUGAGUCUCAGGGAGGUCAAGAGACAUGCCAAAGCACAGCUUGGAAGUGGUCCAUUGGAUUCGAAGGGGUCCUCACACGAAGCAGGAAGUCACCCUGUAUCU
Long non-coding RNA from Homo sapiens (human), 152 nucleotides. Ensembl annotates it as SPRY4 antisense RNA 1. Its record names the gene SPRY4-AS1. Lineage: Eukaryota; Metazoa; Chordata; Mammalia; Primates; Hominidae. The record is from Ensembl.